GACGAACGCUGGCGGCGUGCUUAACACAUGCAAGUCGAACGGAAAGGCCCUGCUUUUGUGGGGUGCUCGAGUGGCGAACGGGUGAGUAACACGUGAGUAACCUGCCCUUGACUUUGGGAUAACUUCAGGAAACUGGGGCUAAUACCGGAUAGGAGCUCCUGCUGCAUGGUGGGGGUUGGAAAGUUUCGGCGGUUGGGGAUGGACUCGCGGCUUAUCAGCUUGUUGGUGGGGUAGUGGCUUACCAAGGCUUUGACGGGUAGCCGGCCUGAGAGGGUGACCGGCCACAUUGGGAAUGAGAUACGGCCCAGACUCAGACGGGAGGCAGGAGUGGGGAAUAUUGCACAAUGGGCGGAAGCCUGAUGCAGCAACGCCGCGUGCGGGAUGACGGCCUUCGGGUUGUAAACCGCUUUCGCCUGUGACGAAGCGUGAGUGACGGUAAUGGGUAAAGAAGCACCGGCUAACUACGUG
RNAcentral lists this ribosomal RNA (468 nucleotides) under uncultured bacterium. RNAcentral's name for it is "partial 16S ribosomal RNA". It matches the Rfam family "Bacterial small subunit ribosomal RNA", at positions 28 to 507 of the family's 1533-position model. The record is from RNAcentral.